This 317-nucleotide ribosomal RNA is filed under the name uncultured bacterium. RNAcentral's name for it is "bacterial SSU rRNA". It matches the Rfam family "Bacterial small subunit ribosomal RNA", at positions 28 to 346 of the family's 1533-position model. The record is from RNAcentral.
GACGAACGCUGGCGGCGUGCUUAACACAUGCAAGUCGAGCGGUAAGGCCCUUUCGGGGGUACACGAGCGGCGAACGGGUGAGUAACACGUGGGUGACCUGCCCUCAGCUCUGGGAUAAGCCUGGGAAACCGGGUCUAAUACUGGAUAUGACUCCAUGACGCAUGUUGUGGGGUGGAAAGCCUUGUGCGGCUGAGGAUGGGCCCGCGGCCUAUCAGCUUGUUGGUGGGGUGANGGCCUACCAAGGCGACGACGGGUAGCCGGCCUGAGAGGGCGACCGGCCACACGGGGACUGAGACACGGCCCCGACUCCUACGGGA